Populus euphratica (Euphrates poplar) is the source of this 267-nucleotide long non-coding RNA. RefSeq lists it as uncharacterized. The transcript has 2 exons. The record is from RefSeq and is a predicted model, not a curated record. Lineage: Eukaryota; Viridiplantae; Streptophyta; Magnoliopsida; Malpighiales; Salicaceae.
AAUAACUCCACUUGUGCAGCACCAAUAAAUACAGAAAAAGAAGAAAAGACAAACAAUUAAUGUGCGAUAAGGACAGGUGAAAUUUCUAUUCUUGCAAGCCAAACAGUGCUGAUCAGAGACAAGUGGUAAUUAUUCUUUUGAAUUCAUGAAAAUAACACAAAAAAAUUGUAAGUACAUUUUUUUCCUAAAAAAUGGAAUUUUAUAAUAAUAUGAAAGAGGUAAGUAACAGGUUGAAAAGAUGAUAAUCUCUCCCAACAGAAACAGGCA